This is a long non-coding RNA of Salmo trutta (river trout), 2105 nucleotides long. The record is from Ensembl. Lineage: Eukaryota; Metazoa; Chordata; Actinopteri; Salmoniformes; Salmonidae.
CCCUUCCUCUGCAUCUCCUGUACCAACCGGGAGAUGUCGCCGCAGCCACCGCCUACACGGCUCAUCAAUACGUGACCGACUUGCGGAACCAUCUCCAGACUACCUUUGCGUACGCUCAAGGACAAUUGGAAAGAAGUGCAGAAGGUGACAAGACCUAUUACGACAAAAAAGCCUCACACCAGGUGUUCGAGGUCGGAGAUAAGGUGUGGUACUACAUAUACACCAAACCCGCGGGCGUCGCAACAAAGUUCCUGCCCCACUGGACGGGGCCACACGAGAUUGUGGUGAAGCUAUCACCUGUAGCUUACCAGAUCAAAAUCAGCAAAGGUCAACAAAACGCCACAUUAAAGUGGGUCCACCGGAACCAAAUCAAGUUGUACACUCCCCCCAUGGGAAUAGAAGGGGUGCUAGCCAGCACCGAAUAGAUAAAAACCCUAGCAAAAACCCAGAGGUACUAAGAAAAUUCUUAAGUAUCCUCAGCUGAUCCCUUCCAGGAGACCAGUACGUUGCACCUAAUAUCUUUUAUUCUCUUCCCAGCUACCAGAUAUACAUCUGUUGUCACUAGUGAUAUCGUCCUGCGCUGUACUGAUUAAAAAUAAGAAAAACAGAAAAAUAGUUGUCAAAACAAUUUUUGUUUACGAAUACAAAUAACUGAAAUAAUCCAACAAUCUCUGAUUAUGCGUUUCUGUAGGAUGGAGUUCCUUUGGAUGAUCCUGACACUCUGCGCCCUGGUCAAAACCAACCCAGCAGACGUAAUCACGAACGGACCCCCUACGGGAAUCGUUCUCCGCGACGAUCCAGGACUCCUCAUAACUAACUGCAGAGUACACACGCAGAGGGUAUAUGUCCGCCUAGAUGCAGAGAAUGUGUACCGCCAACACAUUCCACCUGCGGCGCAUUUGAGUUGGGCCGGGGCUGACUGGACCAGCCAGGCAAUUAAGCACGCCCAGCUAGACACUGCCCAUAUGUUGGCCCAACUCCAAAAGUUCACAGUAACCCAGUCAGAACUAGCUGAGCCCAGGCGAGAAAAACGAUUCGUCGGGGCGCUACUAUCGAUAGGGGCAGCCGUAGGGUCACUAUUUGCCCUAGGUACCACUGCCGUCAACGCAGUCAGUCUAGCCACAGUCAAGAGGAAUGUUAGGGAGAUUACUGAAGAGAUGCCACUUAUCCAGCAGCAGAUGAAGGCACAGGCCCUUAGGUUGCAACAUGUGGGAAAGUCUCUCCAGGACACUAUUCUGGUGGUCAACACACACGCUACUCUCCUGAACAAAACUAUCCUGUCUGUAGGAAAGCUAGCAGAGGUCAUGAACCAUGACUAUGCCCAUGUCCAAUUGGUUCGAUUGUUACUGGAGGAUUUUCUCCGUGAAGUUAGCUCUUCUAUGGACCACUUGGCCAUGAAUAGAAUCCCCUCAUAUCUAGUGCCCCUCUCAAUGGUGCACGACAUAUUGACCUCAGCUACUUCAACCACACUAAGGCCGUUACAAUCACAUUUGGCCUAUAGUCUGGGGUCGGCCAUCCCAAUACACGUUGAUGUUGAUCGUAAUGAAGUGGGUUUUCUACUGACGCUGCCGGUUGUUGAACUGGAGAAUAUCUAUAGAUUGAAAACGGUUCUCAAUGUAGGAUUUUGGCGCGACAGUACCCACGUAAAGAUUGCCACGCCCCCAGUUGUAGCUUACCAGGAAAACAACCCAGAUUUCUAUCUCACCCCUAACCUGCUAAUGUGUACUCUAACCAAAGAUGUCCACUACCUUUGUCCUAGCAAACCAUUUGUCAGGGAUAACUCUGAGCGUCUUUGUGGUAUUAAAGCUAUCACCAGCGAAGAACGCUGUAGAGCCAAACUAACAGCCAGGGAUGGGGCCACCACCACACAAGUGGAGGUGGUAGGGAACCGAUGGUUGGUCAACACACCGUUCGCGUCCGCCACUAUGACUUACGAACGACAUGACUCCAUCACCCAAUUAAACCUCCCCAACCAGACUGUUUUUGUUACGGUACCAGAGGGGGCGAUUAUUCACGUAGACGACCUCGCUCUAUACCACCUUCCCGAUGACCGGAUAGACACAGAGAUUGAAAUGCCGGACGCUUUUGCUAAACGUUCCCUUGAG